UUUGCAGAAAGGAGGGAGAGAGAGCGUACGAGAAAUCAAGGGUUAUGCUUUCCUCAUAUCUGAAUUGGUUUCCUUUAAACACGUGAUAUACAUAUACCUCAUCACUUUUUAGGUUUUCUUAAUCGCCUCUUCCCAUCGUAGAAACCUAAUUCCAUAACCGUAUACCACAUCUACCUUCAGAUAACAAUUCUUCAUGGAAAUCAUACAGUCCUCUCAAAUUCAAACUCAAGUCUAGGUUUUGAACUUCACGGAGUAAGUGCUUUUCUAGAUUUUGUCCACUUCACGGAGUAAGUGCUUUUCUGGAAUUGCAACCCUAGAAAGAAAAAUUAUAGGAGAACAACGAUCUGAUGUAAGUUUCUUUCUGUAAUCAGACACUAUUUCGUGGCUUUCAAAUUCCAACACAAAAGAAAUCUGGUUUCUUUCACCAUCCCUCUCUCUUGAAAAACCCUAGAUCUGCCUCUGAAUCAUUCAUCUAACAACAAAUCUCACAUAUUUUUGAGUUUUUUUUUUCUCAAACACAGUGGUGGUGAUAACCCCCACGAUAGAAGAUGUCGGAGAUGGCGGUCGUGGGUGGAAACCUAGACGGCUGCGGAGGGUGCCGGUAUUUGCUUUCAGCAAUUCUUCUGUGGAGUUUGGGUGGCUUUUUGUCAAGAUCCAGUGAAAUGGCUAUGAUUUUUGUGUUAAAAGGAAGAAGACGCUGAGACGCUUCUUGGCCACAUGAAAAAUCUGUGGUUCCUCGAAUGUGCCCUGUCUUGAAAGUGUCCCCGUUGCCCUCAGCUCGUAAUUUUCAUAACUGUUUUUCACUAUCAGUGAUUACCACAGCUUCAAACAGCUCUUGUAGGUUGUUUUGUUACAUUUAAUUAUAUGAUUUUGUAAAAGUUGACCGUAUUAUAGUCAACCUGGAAGGAUUCCCCAGAAUCCAGAUAUACCAGAACUUGUAAUUUGGUGUUAGAAUUGUUAAUUACACACCCAAUAUCCAUGGCAGUGUUACUAUAAUUUUAUUUUUUAAAGAAAUUAUCAUGUUGGUUCUAAAGUUUAAAAAUUGAAUAUAUGAUAUUGUGUGAAAGUGUAGUGUGGAAGUCAAUAGCCAUCAUUCUGUAGUCUCGGAAGUCUUUUAUUGCAUUAUAUAUCUGCAUUUUUUUUAAUUUUGUAUCUUUAGCUUGGUUUCACUCCUUCAGGAUCUAAUUUUGAUGUGAUAUUUUCUUAAUUGCAGUGACAUUGUUGGCGGGUAUUGGUGUGGCGGAAAAGGAGCCUGUAACGCGCAAUACUAUGGCUGGUCACCUAAGUAAUAGUCAGGAUGUUGGGCUUCAUGCGAGAACUGUAAGCACCGUAUUGACAGUUGAUAGUGAUAUGAUUGAUGAAGGUGGGAACCCGAUCUGGAAGAACUGAGUUGAAAGUUGGAAAGAUAAGAAGAAAAAGCGGGGCGGUAAGGUUGCUAAAGAAGUUCAAGUGCCUGUUGAUCAACACAUUGAAGAAAAGCAGCAAUCAGCAGACCCGAAUGCAAUGCAGCCACUUUCACAAAUAAUUCCAAUUCCGAAAAGCCAAAUCGCACCCUGUCGGACUGUGAUUAUUCUUCGGUUUAUCAUUUUGGGACUUUUCUUCCAGUACUGAAUCACGAAUCCUGUUGAAAGCUCCUACGGGUUAUGGCUAACUUUUGUUAUUUGUGAGAUCUGGUUUGCUAUAUCAUGGGUUUUAGAUCAGUUCCCUAAAUGGUCUCCAAUUAAUAGAAUUACAUUUAAAGAUGAGCUAUCUGCAAGGUAUGAAAGAGAGGGUGAGCCUUGAGAACUUGCAGCAGUUGAUUUCUUUGUGAGCACAGUUGAUCCAUUGAAAGAACCUCCGCUAAUUAUCGCCAAUACUGUGCUUUUAAUCCUGGGAGAUGAUGAGUUUGAUCUUGAUCCUGAAAACAUAAUGCUCAAGGAAGCCAUCUGGUUGUUUUUUCAGCAUCCAUGGCCCCACAAGCCGAAUACUCAGCUUCAUUCUCAUCCCCUUCCGGUGGACUCGCAUGCUCCGUAGCUGUUCUUGCUGAACGCCAGCAAACGGGAGGUGAAUCCUCAACUAAUUACAACAAUUACAGCGGGAAUCUGUCAACAUACAGCACGCAUUCCAACCGCAGCCAAACGGGGUUAUUAUCACUUGAUAACCAUCUCCAAAUUAAUCACGAGAAUUCAGAAUUUGGGUACACGAGCUGGUUGUCUCAAUAGGGCCUUUGUGUGAUAGUUGAAGCUCUGGAUACCUUGUUAGACUGGUCCAGGGGUUGUUUCAUCAGGAGUCCCUAUGCAUUUAUUGAUCAUCCGCUGGUGUAUGUUUGGACGUCCCGAUAUAUGAUGCCUCGGGCUCUUGGGAGGUGGUAUAUGUACAUCACAUGGACCUACGAGAUCUGGAAACAUCAUGAUUGGAAAAAUCUUCGAAGCAUGCAUCUCUGGGGGUGGGUUGGUUUUCGCUGCUUAUGUUGAAGCUCAAUCUGAAGGCCCAUUUCAGGGUGGGUUGGUUUUCGCUGCUUAUGUUGAAGGCGGGAGCCCAUAAACAUCAUCCGGGCCUGGUUCUUUUGCUUAUUCAGGAAGCCCAAGGCUGGGCUAUCAGGACGUGGAAAUGGGCCCAGGUUCGGGUCCACCAAAUGGGUUCUAAAAUCGUGAGUUAUUGGGCUAUUUUGGAUGUGGGCUACAAAGAUGGAACUGGUCUCCAGCUUGCUUUUGUGCAAAUGUAUCGGCCUUCUACAGCCCUUGUGUGGGAUCGAAAUUUCAGUGAUCAUCGUUAGUUUGUUUUGUUCACAAUUUGUAUAGGGCUAGAUGUGAAUGUACUCCUAGACAAAGGUGUUUUGUUUCUUAUUUUUGGUCCCAAAAUCAUGUUUUGGGGAUGAUACGGGGGUAUGCCUAGAGGUGUACAAAUCGGUUUUUUUCAAAAACCGGUUUUUUUUCAUCCAAAAUGAAAUAUCCUUGC
RNAcentral lists this long non-coding RNA (2937 nucleotides) under Helianthus annuus (common sunflower). RNAcentral's name for it is "hypothetical non coding rna". Lineage: Eukaryota; Viridiplantae; Streptophyta; Magnoliopsida; Asterales; Asteraceae. The record is from RNAcentral.